This 627-nucleotide ribosomal RNA is filed under the name uncultured bacterium. RNAcentral describes it as "bacterial SSU rRNA". It matches the Rfam family "Bacterial small subunit ribosomal RNA", at positions 8 to 650 of the family's 1533-position model. The record is from RNAcentral.
AGAGUUUGAUCCUGGCUCAGAAUGAACGCUGGCGGCGUGCUUAAGACAUGCAAGCCGUACGUGAAAGUCCGCAAGGAUGAGUAAAGUGGCGCACGGGUGAGUAAUAUUUAGGUAACACACCCUUCCGCUGUGGAUAACCAGACGAAAGUUUGGCUAACACAGAAUAGUCUAAUCGAAACUGCGGUUUUGAUUAGUAAAGCCGUAAGGCGCGGAAGGUCUGGCCUAAAUCCCAUUAGCUAGUUGGUAGGGUAAUGGCCUACCAAGGCUACGAUGGGUAGCUGUUCUUAGAGGAAGACCAGCCACACUGGAACUGGAACACGGUCCAGACUCCUACGGGAGGCAGCAGUUAGGAAUUUUGCGCAAUGGGGGAAACCCUGACGCAGCAACGCCGCGUGGAGGAUGAAGGCCUUCGGGUUGUAAACUCCUUUUAGCAGGGAAGAAAAAAAUGACGGUAUCUGCAGAAAAAGCACCGGCUAACUCUGUGCCAGCAGCCGCGGUAAUACAGAGGGUGCAAGCGUUAUUCGGAAUCACUGGGCGUGAAGAGCUCGUAGGCGGUUAAUUAAGUCAUAUGUGAAAGCCCUGCGCUCAAUCCAGGAAGUGCAUCUGAUACUGGUUGACUGGAGUGCA